UUGCUCUUCAACGAGGAAUUCCUAGUAAGCGCGAGUCAUCAGCUCGCGUUGACUACGUCCCUGCCCUUUGUACACACCGCCCGUCGCUCCUACCGAUUGAAUGGUCCGGUGAAGUGUUCGGAUCGAGGCGACGUGGGCGGUUCGCUGCCCGCGACGUAGCGAGAAGUCCACUGAACCUUAUCAUUUAGAGGAAGGAGAAGUCGUAACAAGGUUUCCGUAGGUGAACCUGCGGAAGGAUCAUUGUCGAAACCUGCAACAGCAGAACGACCCGUGAACACGUUUUAAACAGCUUGGGCGGGCGAGAGGAGCUUGCUCCUUGGACCCGCCCGCACCUGCUGGGAGAAAUCUCGGCGGGCUAACGAACCCCGGCGCAAUCUGCGCCAAGGAACAAUAAAAGAUUAUCGCGUGGCUCGUGCGGUGGCCCGGAGACGGUGUCCGCCAAUCGAGAUGCGUGUUUAUCGAAAUGUCUAAACGACUCUCGGCAACGGAUAUCUCGGCUCUCGCAUCGAUGAAGAACGUAGCGAAAUGCGAUACUUGGUGUGAAUUGCAGAAUCCCGUGAACCAUCGAGUCUUUGAACGCAAGUUGCGCCCGAAGCCACUAGGCCGAGGGCACGUCUGCCUGGGUGUCACACGCCGUUGCCCCCAUGUGCACUGCCAAAAGCGUGUUCAGGAGGGGCGGAGACUGGCUUCCCAUGAGCAUUGCCUUGUGGUUGGCCUAAAUUCGAGUCGUCGGCCGCAAUCGCCUCGACAUUCGGUGGUUUUCGAUUAUAUCGGUGCCCCGUCGUGCGCGAAUCCGUGACCGACUAGACCCGUACGACCCCAAUGUGCUGCGAACGCAGUGCCUUCAACGCGACCCCAGGUCAGGCGGGAUCACCCGCUGAAUUUAAGCAUAUCAAUAAGCGGAGGA
This 907-nucleotide ribosomal RNA is filed under the name uncultured eukaryote. RNAcentral describes it as "eukaryotic LSU rRNA". The stretch from base 1 to 243 matches the Rfam family "Eukaryotic small subunit ribosomal RNA", at positions 1593 to 1831 of the family's 1831-position model. The record is from RNAcentral.